Delphinapterus leucas (beluga whale) is the source of this 5002-nucleotide non-coding RNA. The record is from RefSeq and is a predicted model, not a curated record. Lineage: Eukaryota; Metazoa; Chordata; Mammalia; Artiodactyla; Monodontidae.
CCACACAUAAGUGAUAUCAUAUGGUAUUUGUCUUUCUCUAUUAAGUAUUUUCCUUACAAAACCAGAAAAGUUCUGUGUAGUUGAUGGCAGUCAGUGACGAUGCUGGGUCUUCAGAAAGCAUGACCAUCAAAACGAUGACGGUUGAAGAUAAGAGGUCAGAGACCUCCCAUCGUCAGCAAUUAUAAGCAAGGUGACAGACACUCACAAUGCUAGGAAUUAUUUAGAUUUAAUUUUUGAAUUGUCAGUACAUUCACAUGGUUCAAAGUUCAUGAAGUAAAAAGAAUGUACAGUGGAGUCUCCAUCUGAGCCCUGUCCCCAGCCUUCCAGUUCCCAUCCCCUAAGUCAACUAAGGUUGUAAGUUUCUUGUCCAUCCUUCAGCACACACAUGCAAAUACACAUGCAUUGUUCCCUCUCUCCACCUUUUGGCAAAAGUGGUAUUAUAGCCAACAUACGAUUCUGCAUCUACAAAGACAGGAAUUUGGCAACUUGGAGAGAAGUGGAUUUUUGCAGCUUCACCUAACAGCUGUGAAAUUCAUGAGAAAUGUCUUUUAGGAAAGCAGUUUUUUAUUAGGUAGUAGGUAUGAAAAAUGGAGUCUAAGUUGAGAUCUCAUGUGUCUGGGAGCAUCUGUUGAAUGGGGUGGACCUGUGAGGAGGUAGAAGGUACCUGGGAGAACAAAGUAGGAAAUGUGACAUUUGUGCCUAAGAAUUCUCAUACAAGUUCCCAGGUCUGUCAUGGAACCUUGCCAUCACUGACGUGUUUGCUCGCCAUCACCCCAUCCCCUCCAGCACUCUGGGAAGGCUCUGCCCUCCUGCCAGCACACCCACAGGGGUCCUUGGCUGGAUCCCUCUGAAGUCAGUCACCUACGAAGAUCACCUCCUGUUCUCUGUCAAAAUUGGCCUUGUAUCGCAAAUGCCUCCGUCUUGGCUGGCCACCCUUGCAGUGCCUCCAUCAGGAUUUAUCGUGUGACCAGGUCCCCGUGCUCCUGCUUUAAUGCCCCACCACCAGCUGCAUAUCUGAGCCCCUCUCCUAGCAGGGUGGGUGUGCCUCUUGAAUGUGAAUCAAUUCUAAUAUUUAAAAAAACAGGACCCAGUGUUUUAAAUUACCAUCUGACAUGCCAAGUGAAGUGAAGCUCAUUUUCAGAUGAUUCCCAGCUGUCAUAAUAGCAUUGUGCCUGGAUGGCUCAGUCAUCACAGAAGAAAGGAGGGCAAUUUUAUUUCAAAUUUAACGUGAUAACAGGAAUUAUGAUGGGAAAUCAACUUGAGAUAUUUAGAGCAGCUACUUAGAAUCACAUCAAUUAACAUUUGUCCAUUGCUUUACUGUUGAUAAAGCACUCUUAUGUACACUGUCGUCAUAUAUGUUAGGGAGUGAUGGUGGCUCCAAGGAGAGAACAAAACUGAAGUAUUUCACUGCCUAAACUUAGAAAUGGUGAGGAAACGGACAGGUUCUUUCAAAAGGAGACCACCGAGCUAAGCACAAAAGAAUAAGCAUUACCAGCGCCAAAUCCAGAGAGACUGAGAUGAAAACAUUGUCAAUUCAAGAUAGAUAUAUUGUGGGAGGAGAGUCAAGCCAAACUGAGCUCCUAUAACAAAGUGUCAGGAUGGAGGGCUGUUAGACAACUGUUUGGCCAAAGUAGGUUGCUUGUUCUUUUAUUUAUCGCAUAGGUAAUACAUAGCUUUGUAUUAAAAUAUCACAACUUCAGAUAAACCUGAAAGAAAGUGGCAGUAUAUCUUAGGCUACUCUGUCUAGCCUCUCUUAUGGCCACAUUCUUGGAAACAUUUGCCUGAAUUUCAUCUCCACUGAGACCCCCAAUUUGCUGCUGCUUUCCUUGUUUCCCUGUAAAGUCUUUACCAACCUGCUGUCUCGUCCAGUGGUUUGGGAAUCAACAUUAUCCUAGCUGUUGAUGACUCAGGAAUGGACUUAAUUGAUGAUAACCGCAUGUCCUGGAGGGUUGGCACUCAUAGUUAUCGUUUGUCUCAGAAGCUGAAAUGCGCACUCUAUCCAUAUAAAUUGUGAGAGAAUUCAUCUUGAUGAAUGCCGAGCAUGAUUCGCCACAAGUGGCGAUUUUGACUGGCCAAUUGUGAAUACAUAUGUUCUUUAUGGUGCUUUCCCCAGAGUUUUGCGGAACUGGCUGGAACACAUUUUUGUGUUUCUACUUCCCACCCUCACUCCAUUUGCCUGUCAGUUUCCCUUGCAUACAGUAGGUACUCAAUACAUGUUUACUGAAUGAAAGUUCUCUUUCUUAGAGCAUGAUGAGGCUCCACCGCUGAAUGGGUUCAGAGGGCUUCAUUUCCCAUGAACUCCUCCUGUGCGAAGCGAUUGUCCUGAUGAGAAAGUGAGAGCUGAACUGUUGAAAAGACUGAUUCUCCCCCUUGAAUCAGGAGGUCACGCUGUACCUGAUGGAUGGACCGUCUUUCACGCCUGCAGUGAGAUCUGUCCCCCAGCCGCCACUCAAGACUCUCUUGGCCUGUGAGCACAUUUCUGCAGCUGAAAGAUUGACUGAGGCAUCAGCAUGAAGAAAUUACAUUCUGUCUGCUCAGAAGUCCCACACCAGUGGGCUCGUUAUAGAUGAACCUGAUGGCUCCCUACAAAGUGGAAAAGUCCCAUCACCUCCUGUUAACGUGAGGGUGCUUUUGGAUGAGGUAGCGUUAAAUUGGUUGACUUUGAGGAAAGCAGAUUGCCUCUAUCAGGUGGGUGGGCCUUAUCCAAUCAGCUGAAAACCUGAAUAGAACAAAAGACUGACCUCCUGGGAGCAAGAGGGAGUUCUGCCAGCAGACGGCCUUUGGACUUGAACUGCAAUGUCAGCUCUUCCCUAGGUCUUCAUCUUGAUUGCCUUUCGACUUGAACUACAGAUUUCGGACUUGCCAGCCUCCAUAAUCACAAAACUUGAAAUAGCACCACUGAUACCAGGAGCGGUUCCAGAAAGCUGGCAAGAAGAUGGGGUUGGAGACGGGGUCACUCACCACAGGCUGGUGAGGAGGGUCCCAAUCCAAGUGCUCUGGGCUCUGCAGAGUUCGAGGUCUUUGUCUCAGAGGGGCCGUAUUCUUGGCAGAGGACAGAGCAAGAGUUCCACUGAACUAUGGAUGCUACCUGGACAUUUUGGACUCACUGUGUCCAGGACCAACAGUGAGGAGUCACCAUGUUGGCAGGAGAGAUGAACUCUCCUCAGUAGGAGGAGGCGGGGACGUGUGGGAUCACUGUAGAGCCCCGGUGAUCCACUUAGGUGCCUCUCAGUACUCCUUAGCCCCCAGUAUAUCUGUAAGUGGACCUCUGUAGUAGUCCUUGCCUUACAAGGAUAUGCUUACCAGAGUCUCAGAACCCUCAAUUAAGAGAUCUUUUUUUUUUUUUUACCACAUCCUUCUCUCUUUGUCCCUCCCUUCACAGGUGUCAGAUCAGUAUUAGAUCAGUAUUAUGGUCUGAGGAUUCCCUCUUACUCGUGUCCCCUCUAUCCUUGUCUUUCACAGGCUUUCCCCCCAGUAAAUGUCUUGGCCUUCUAAUUCUAUCUUGGCGUCUGUUUCGUGGAGAAUUCAAACUGACAUAAUGGGCUUAGGUUAGUUGGCUAAUCUUUUCUCCCUCUUAAAAGGAGGAGGAAAGUUGGGUAGGUAUGUAGAGCUAGACAUCAUUGUAAGCCCUGACGUAACCUGUCUAUAGUUUUUAAAAGUAAAAUGGCAGAAAUAGUUAGAAAAUUAGUAAUUUAUUAAUAAGCUUGGUUAUCAAGUCUUUAUUGCUCAGAAAUCAAGGAAAUCACAAGCCAAAAUCAGUCACUAGUUUCCAAAGGAAAUACUUCUCAUAAAGCCCGAAAACAAAAAUUUAACAAAAACUUAAACCAAAAACAUGUUAAUUGUUCUCAUCCUCGCUAACACCUGGGGCUGGUACAUUUGGCCUGAGGAGUUUUGUUUUACCAUAGUGCAUUGUUAAUGCUCCAUGUAUAAGUGAUAACUCGUGGGCUUUAAGUGAUAUUAACUAAUCUUUGACAUGAUCUUUCAUUAAAGGUGGUAUUUUAUAUUACAGUCAGAUACACUUUCAUUGUGAUGGUCUGAUUUUUCUUUCUGUGGCUCCUGUGGGUGUCACCAAAGAAAGUAAAAUUAGGACAAGGUCAAUUUUAUGUUUACUAGACAGUAACUAGAACAUUCUAAAUGCACAAUUAGUGUUUAGACUAUAUUUGUGCACUUUUUAGCAAAUGUGUGGUAUUGAAAAACAUAAUCCACUCUAGUCAGAAGCAGUUCUUUUUUACUAAAUGAAAAUGUGUUGGCAACUGCUCCGUUUCCAUGGAUUUAUGACUCUAAUAGGUCCUGAAAAUAAAACCCAAUCUUUGCCAAAAUCUCACUUAUGCUUUAUAUCAAUAACAUGCCCUUUAUCCCUGCUUAUGCAUUUGGGAAACAGAGAAACUAUACCAAUUAGUUAAAAAUCCAUUAGUUAGAACUCUAAAGAACGGAUUUGGAGGGAGGGGACAUGUGUGGGAGCUGACACCUAACACUUUAUUUUUAUGAAAAAGAGAAAAAUUGUACAGAAUCAUGAUGAAUUGAAAAAGAGUGAAUAUUUUCCAGAAUACAUUUGGAAGUGUAUAGUUCAAAUUUAAACCAUUUUCAAUAUCUAAUGAUGUUAAAUCACUGCAGGAGACCUCAAGCAACAAGAGAGAUACAGUUAUGUCCAAGACAUUCUACUUACAGAAACAAGUGCACUAUACAUUUAAUUCUCUAAUUCUAGUGACUGCAAAAGGAUUAAACAGGGUUUAAUCCUCAGUUAACUGGAAAAUCAAAUCACCAACUUGAACUCCAUUCCCUAAAUAAGCAACUCUUAAUUUUAGCUGCACUUUAGCAUGUUCUGGGGGAACUUUCCAAAUUCUCAAUGCCCAGGUCCCACUUCAGGCUAAUUAAAUCAGAAUUACGGUGGUUGUUGUUGCUGUUUUUUAAUCCACAGGUGAUGUGUGGCCAAGAUUGAGAUCCACUACCUUGGAUACUACAAUUGUUUUAAGUUUAAGCUUACUACAGUUAUUUUAAGUUU